Molecule: ribosomal RNA, 203 nt
Filed under: uncultured bacterium
Lineage: Bacteria
Description: partial 16S ribosomal RNA
Rfam family: Bacterial small subunit ribosomal RNA
Source: RNAcentral
ACGCUCGACACCUACGNGGAGGCAGCAGGUGGGGAAUAUUGGGCAAUGGGCGCAAGCCUGACCCAGCAACGCCGCGUGAAGGAAGAAGGCCCUCGGGUUGUAAACUUCUUUUAACAGGGACGAAGCAAGUGACGGUACCUGUUGAAUAAGCCACGGCUAACUACGUGCCAGCAGCCGCGGUAAUCUGAGCGGGCUGGCAAGGC